GGGCUUGUGGUUUAGUGGUAUAAUACUCCCUUAGCACCAACGAGGAUCCAGCAACGGUGAGGUUCACGGUCUGAUCUGAGUCCCUCUAGCUUGGGAGUGGUCCGGGGUUCGAUUCCCCGCGAGUCCA
Molecule: transfer RNA, 127 nt
Filed under: Hypoxylon sp. CI-4A
Lineage: Eukaryota; Fungi; Ascomycota; Sordariomycetes; Xylariales; Hypoxylaceae
Rfam family: tRNA
About the family: Transfer RNA (tRNA) molecules are approximately 80 nucleotides in length.
Source: Rfam by way of RNAcentral